CAGCAGUAGCCGCGGGAAUACGGAGGGUGCAAGCGUUAAUCGGAAUUACUGGGCGUAAAGCGCACGCAGGCGGUCUGACAAGUCAGAUGUGAAAUCCCCGGGCUUAACCUGGGAACUGCAUUUGAAACUGUCAGGCUGGAGUCUUGUAGAGGGGGGUGGAAUUCCAGGUGUAGCGGUGAAAUGCGUAGAGAUCUGGAGGAAUACCGGUGGCGAAGGCGGCCCCCUGGACAAAGACUGACGCUCAGGUGCGAAAGCGUGGGGAGCAAACAGGAUUAGAUACCCCUGUAGUCCCUGUCUCUUAUAU
Molecule: ribosomal RNA, 304 nt
Filed under: uncultured bacterium
Lineage: Bacteria
Description: partial 16S ribosomal RNA
Rfam family: Bacterial small subunit ribosomal RNA
Source: RNAcentral